This is a long non-coding RNA of Haliotis rufescens (red abalone), 2353 nucleotides long. RefSeq lists it as uncharacterized. The transcript has 3 exons. The record is from RefSeq and is a predicted model, not a curated record. Lineage: Eukaryota; Metazoa; Mollusca; Gastropoda; Lepetellida; Haliotidae.
UACAGAACACGUAUAAUUUACAUUUCCUUGUCUGAUGUAAAAAGCGUGAGUACCACAAUAUACACCAACGCAUGGUUUCUGGCAUUGAAUUGGCUUCCCCAUAAGUGUAUAUCUGCACGGAUUCAUGAUUAUACACCUAUCAUAUCAUCUGUCUAAAUGAAAAGCACAUAUCGAGUCUCUCAACCAGCCAGAUCUAUUUAUAGCUUGGCCAGUCAGCACUGGACAGACCCUGACUGGGAUGUUUUUGUAAACAAACGCCGUAAAGUUGAAGUAACUCGAUCAGUUUCAAGCCAAGUCAUGCCAGACACAGAUGCCCCAAAAGUACAGGUCCCCAGUCCAUCAUGGUGUACAGUCACUGUCCAAUGUACACCAGAAGCAUGGGUAUACAGUAUGAGGUCCCACAAUGAUUUUAUGGAAGAGUAUACAUGCGCCGAAACCCUUUCCAUAUUCAUAUGAAAUCUCUGUAAAAAACAAAGUCGAUGGUACGAUUCUGACUAAAUCAUGAGCACGUGUUAAUGAAUCGCUAUCAAAUAGUGAUAAUACCAGGUGUUCACGAAAGGUGAGAGUAUCCUGCCCCACCAAUGUCAAAUUGUGUUUAUUUACAUGCAGAGUCAUAAAAUAUUAGAGCAUCUUGUGAGGUACAGUGCUUCAGACAACAAGAGAGCUGUACUUUUUAAUUAGUCAACCAGUGCACUAACAAGUUGCCACUGAGCAUUUAGCCAGUGCUUGUGAUAUUUUCUUCAGUUUUCCCCAGCCUUUGCCCUUGCCCAAAACUACCUCAUCCAGCAUCAGCCACCCUGUAUUACAGAAACUUAUCAAAUGAAACAGCAAAGGCUGAUUGUUGUCAGAGACCAUAAAACAAGAUUUCAAUGAAAAAAGUUUAUUUUAAUGAGCAUAGAGAAAAACAUUACAUACAUCAGAUGCAAAUCUUUCACGAAUCACCUCGACAACACAAGACGGAAUAACUUUUCUCUGAUUCUUCAACUAUUUCUGCAAAUCCCCAAAGUGAACCUCUUGUUUAUGAGGUGUAGAUAGAUUCUGAAAUGAAAAAGUGUCUUUUAUUAGUCAAGCUAUACACAACAUUACAAAAAAUAUCAUACCAUUUACGUAUAUAUUUUUGUCAUUCAAUCUGGAGGGAUGCCUAUAUAAGAAGUAACUUGUAUUGAUGAUAUAUGCAUACUUUUUAUUACAUGUUAAUAAUUCAAUAAAUACCAAAACAGUUUAUAGUUCUAUCAUGUUGACAUGAUGUGUUUAUUACUAUAGGUUUGAAUACCUCUUGAAAUAUUGUGGGCAUGUUUCAAUAUCACUGAUGUAAUUUAAUAACUUUACAAGUUACAUAUGCUUUCACAACUUGCUGGCAAAUAAACAUUUAUGGUACUGGAGAUUUAUUUUACUUGUCAGAUUUGUUUGUUGUGCAUGAUAGAUCUUAAAAUGCAUAAUAAAAUAAAGUGAUGAAAGCAAAUAAUAUUAUGUUUUUCUAAACUUUAUUUCAAGUGUUAAUAUAAAAAAGGGUGGUGGGGUAGCCUUGUGGUGAAAGCGUUCAACCGUCACCCUGAAGACCCAAGUUCGAUUCCCCACAUGGGCACAACAUGUAAAGCUCAUUUCUGGUGUCCCCCAGUUGUGAUAUUGCUGGAAUAUUGCUAAAAGCAGCGUAAAACCCUACUCACUAAUUCAUUUAAAAAAAUGAUUGCAUAUUUCAUUUGCAAUUCAGGGGUUGGUUGUUACAGACAUUUUGCUCAAAAGGUCAGGUCGGGAGGUCCAAAUUUCCAAACAAAGAUUUACAAUUUCAAAUAUUUUUCACUAAUAUUCAACAAGUUUUACUUAUAGUUUCUUAAAUAAUUUAUAUGUAUUGAUUGUGACAGUAAAUGAGCUUCUUGUAAACAUUUUACAUAUAUCUGGUCCACUCAGUUAAACAACCCACUGUUUUUAAUAAUUAAUUAUAUAUUAGAUUUUUCUUCUUUUUUUUAGUUUCUAAACAUUUUUUUAAAAAUCUGGCCUCAUAAUAGAUGAUAAAUAGUUUCCCUGCAAAGUUGCAAUGCAUUUUCUAUGAAUGGUUGUCAGAACAUACCAAUAACCAAUUAUCUAUUAAAUAGAAUAAGAUACUGUAGUAACUGGUUUCAAACACUAAACACAUCAAUGGAGUGAUCUAUCUUUUCACUUUCAAAAGGGGACGGUGUGAAGUGUGAAGUACGACAUCCAGUUACUUAUCAAUAAACAUGGCAGGUAUUUUGAACUCGGAUGGGAACAAAUCAAAGAGAAUCUCUCCCCCCCAGUACGUUUCCACUUGGCAACCGACUUUAGAAACGUACCCCAUUUUCAUGUUACUCUAAGCAUAUGGUCUCCUCAUCAGCUG